AUACGGAGGAUCCGAGCGUUAUCCGGAUUUAUUGGGUUUAAAGGGUGCGCAGGCGGCCAUUUAAGUCAGCGGUUAAAUCGUGGGGCUCAACCCCAUUCUGCCGUUGAUACUGGGUGGCUUGAUUGCGGUCGAGGUUGGCGGAAUUCGUUGUGUAGCGGGUAAAUGCAUAGAUAUGACGAAGAACACCGAUUGCGUAGGCAGCUGACCAGACCGCAAAUGACGCUCAUGCACGAAAGUGCGGGGAUCGAACAGGAUUAGAUACCCUGGUAGUCCGCACAGUAAACGAUGAAUACUUGUUUUCGGCGAUAUAAUGUCGGAGGCAAUGCGAAAGCGAUAAGUAUUCCACCUGGGGAGUACGCCGGCAACGGUGAAACUCAAAUGAAUUGACGGGG
This 392-nucleotide ribosomal RNA is filed under the name uncultured bacterium. RNAcentral describes it as "partial 16S ribosomal RNA". It matches the Rfam family "Bacterial small subunit ribosomal RNA", at positions 523 to 918 of the family's 1533-position model. The record is from RNAcentral.